CUCGCUUAACUUCAUAAAAAUUUGAAACUUGAUAAUAUGUAUAUGAUUCAAAAAAUGUAUUUUUAUUCCUUAUUAUUUUGGAUUGCAUUGAAUUAUAUUUUAAUAUUUAUAUUAUUUUUACAUUUUAGUUCAUUUAUAUAUUGAUUGGAGAUUCUUUUCAUAUAAAUUAGUUAAAUAUUAGUAAACAAUAUCGCUCGGUGUUUGAUAAAUGCUCGAUGCUCCGCCCUAGCUCACUCAAGCGGUUGGAUUCGUCCCUGCUUUGUUCCCACCAUUAUUGACUUAUUCCAGCUGCGUUCCAUAUGGUAUCCAUAUGUCAAAGGUUGAUAGACAUUCUUGUCUUUUUCAAUUAGCAAUAAAAUUAGAAUUCAAUGGAUGGUCAUAUUCGGGAGUAAUCAAUAUAUUCAUAACGAAAAUUAUUGUUGUCUUUAGACCAUAAGUAGAACCAUUAAUGAUGUGACAAAUUUUGGUAGAGUUUAGAUUUUUGGGAACAUUUUAUUCUCUAUAAUUACAUUUUAUUUAGUGCUAACUAGGUAACUGUAUUUUAAUUUUGGUCAAUACAAUUGUUUAACUUGAUUUCAAUUGAAAAACUCCGUUUGAUUCAAUCAUUUGCACUAAUGGAGAUCAAUUAUGUAAUAUUCAAAAAAAGGUGAUCAUCAUUUAUUUCAUUAAAAUUGUACUUAUUUUACUUCUUCAACUAAUGACCACGUGUAAUGAUGUUCAUUCGUUAAAUAUCACAUAAUUGGUUUCUGUCAAUUUAACUGGAUGAAGUUACCCUAAAUAAAAUAAACUUAAAAUGUAGUUACUUGAUAGAAGUAAAAUUAAAGUGUUUAUAUUAAAUCGAAAUUAAAUUAAAAUGUAGUUACCUGAUUAAACAAAAUUAAAGUAUAGUUACUUGAUUGAUAUUAUGAUAAAAGUAUAGAUACUGUGAAUGAAAUUAACAUUUUAGAAUUUCAUUUAUUGUGCCGAGUGAAUAACAAUGCUACACUGCCAUGGAAAAUUUCAAAGACUCCAUACAAGGGGACAGUUGAUUGAUUAUCACGAAAGUCAAGCAGAAUUCUAUAAUUUCAAUUUUUCACAAAACUAUCACAUUUGAUCAUCUUAAGAAACAAAAGUCUAACUUAAGAGUAAUUUCUUGAUUAAGAGCGUGUCCAGUUGAGAUUUCACAUUGGUUUAGUGAUUCAACAACUUUAAAUCUCUUCUUUCUCUAGAGGAAGAUUGUAUCACAUAACUGAUCUUCCAACAUUCACACUUUAGUAAAUAAAGUAAAGAAUGUUUUAAUUCCUCGUGCUUAUUAGUUACAGCUACAAGAGCUAGUUGUAGUUGGUGAACAAAUUAAUGAAUAUAGAAACUAAUGGGUUCUCUUUCGAAAUAAAGGGCUUUGAGACCAUUAUACUCUUGGAGCAUCAUAACCUUGACAUCUUAAACUAUAUAUACUCUAGUUUAAUUUAGAGAAUAAGUGAUCGAUAGGAGCCUUAGUAAGCGAGAUAUGGUACUUGACACAUGUUCAAUACUAGUAAAAUGUUUCGUUACUAUCCCUUCUUAUUCAAAUAACGCAAAACAAUUGACAUUUGAUAUCCAUCACAAUAACAUCGAGUUUCAAAGGCAAUAGCACUUGGAUAUCCUUUGAAUACUAUGUGACAUUAACUGGAGAUUUUUUGGGAGCAUUCUUCAAAGAAACAACCAUAAUCUCAUCAUUUGGAUCACUUAACAACUACAAUAAUUCAAGAAAAUUCCCUUGACUUUUUUUUUUUUUUUUUUUACUAUUUGAUUUGAAAAAUAAUAAUAAAAGCAUCUUUUUGCUAUUGUAUUCCAACUAAUCGGGAAUGUCAUUAAUUUAAAAAGGAUUGAAUCCCCUUAAUGAUGAAUCUUCAAAUUCUUUCUUUGGACACAUGAUUUUGAGGCUGAUAUGGACCCCUUUGUGUAUAUGCUCUUCGAAUUUAAUGUGAUCCAUGGAACAAAGGCAACAAAUACAAGUUCGAGCAAAGAUCCGUUGAUUGUCAAAAAAGGGCCGAUGACUCGAUUGCGAGCAAGGAGGGUCAAAGAAGCAAUGAGAUUGCUUGUUCAAGUUGCAUUGGAUGAAACGUCGAUCUUGACGAAUAAAGGAACAAGUUUCAUGUUGGUCUUGGGUGAAGAUUUGAAGUGGAUCAACUUGUUUCGAAUAGCGGACAGAGGGCCUAAAACGGUGAAUGGUGCGACUGCAGAGUUCACAUUAGUAUGCGGUUGCAUGCCUAUAUUCAGAGAGUUAACUUGGGGAUAAACUAUGAUCCAUGCGACCGCACUAUAAUACACUAUGCAUUUGCAUAGUUUAGCGAUUUUUUUCAUUUUUCGCAAAAUCUUUUAAUUCUAGUAAAACUCUAUUUUUAUGGUAAUUUUUUUAUAAUUUUUUGGACUUUUAUUCAUUUUUAAUUAGGUUUUAGGAGCUUCCUAUAAAUAUGACUCAUUAUUUACAAUGUAAAAUAACAUUCAUUUAUAUCAAUUGAGAGAUUAAUUUUGUUAGCAUAUUUUACUUUCAAUUCCUAGUUCUUCAUUGAACAAAUUUCGAACUUAUCAAGAAUUACGUUUUUGUGGCAUUCAAAUCAUCCGAGUGAGGUUUUCAAAUCUUGUAACCAAGGGUUUAAUAUAUUGUCAACGAUUGUUGGUUACUUUAUUCAAUAUUCUUGAGUCAAACUCAAAACUUUGAUUUUUUUAUUUUCUUGGAUUGUGAUUCAAUCUCGUAUGGGUUUCAUUGCUUUAAUUGCUACAUAGGUUUGCGUAAGUUGGUAUAAGAGUUUAGGCUCCAAAAAUCAAGACCAUAUCCCUUUUUUGUUGAGUUUUCUUUUUCCUAUGUGUUCUUUGCAUUCUUCGUCUUUUGGAUCUUGAAUCCAUGAAAGUAUCCAAAAAAUUUCAAAAAUAGUUUGUGUGCUCAUUUAGCAUUCAAAUCAGUUUUUAUUUUUUUCCCUGGUUUUAUAAUCGAAUUUUUGAGUUAAAAAAAUAUGAAAUUUCAAAUAUAUAUAUUAUUUCGAAAAUUGCCAACAGCAUACAAAUUCAUAUUCUUUGAGUCCCGUCCAACCCAAAAUUCAAGAACCUCUUUCUUGAAUUAAUAAUAGUUUCCAUUCAAAGUGUCAAAGUCUUUUUUUUUUGGGAGUCUUCUAAAGUUAUAAAUCUCAUUCACAUUCUAGUUUGAAUUCUUCGAGAAUAAGACUUGGAUGAGUCCAUAUUAGUUCUUUCAGGCACUUGGGCAAAAGCAUUGAGUGAAGAAAAGGUAAGAGUGACGAGACUAAUAGAGGGAAAAGGUCAAAUUGAGUAAUAUCUGAGCGUAUACAUGUAAGGCAUAUACUAUUUUAGAUUUAGAAUGACUGACAGGGAUGAUAAUACCUCAUGUAGGAACAACAACCAAGUCAAUAUGUUAGAAGAGUUGAUACGGCAAUUUAAGAGACUGUUUGAAGAUGUGAGGGACAGGUUGGAUGGACAGAAAGGCCAGGAUGGAGGGGCAAGACCCAGUGCUUGCCAAUUUUCAUAGGGGAGUUCCCAAUGUAAGGAGGUAAGGUACGUUGGAGCCUAGGGUGGAGAAUUGUAGUGAUUAUGAUGCAGGUAGUGGUAUAGAUGAGGAUGCAAUUGUGGAUGUCGACUUAGGGACAGUAAGGGAUAGAGGAGUUAGACGUGAAAUGAGGGGUAAAGAACCUCUAAGAGAUGGAAUUGAUGGGAGUAUGGACAAUAUCAAAAUAACAAUUCUGUCAUUCAAAGGAAGGAGUGAUUCAGAAGCUUACUUGGAGAAGGAGAAGAAGAUUGAAUUGAUAUUGAUUGCCACAAUUACUCAGAGGAAAAUAAGGUAAAGAUUGCAGUACUUGAGCUCAUUGAUUAUGCUAUUACUUGGUGAGAUCAAGUAUUGACAUCUAGGAGGAGGAAUCGUGAUAGGCCAAUUAAUAUAUGGGAAGAGUUGAAGGCUGUCAUGAGGAAGAGGUUCAUGCCUAAUCAUUACUAUAGGGGCUUUAUCAAAAACUACAAAGCAUCUACCAAGGGACUAAGAGUGUGGAGGACUAUCAUAAAGAGAUGGAAAUAUUGAUGAUUAGAGUGAAUGUUGAGAAGGAUAGGGAGGCCACUGUGGCUCGAUUUUUGAAUUGUUUGAAUAGGAAAAUAGCUAAUGUAAUGGAGUUACAACAUUAUGUGGAGUUGGAAAACAUGCUACAAGUGGCUAUGAAGGUGGAGAGACAAUUGGAGAGAAAGGAGACAGCUAGGUAUCCAUCAGGUUCUUGGGAUUCUGAUCUAUCUAGGAAACUGAAGUGGGAUAACAACAAGGGAAUGAGGUUGUUUCGAAGAGCAAAGCUGAACUACUGAAUGGGAAAGAGAAAAGUGCUAGCAAUGUCACAUCUAAAGAGAAUCCCAGUCAUCUAGGAGUCAAGACAUGAAAUGUUUUAGGUGUUUGGGAUCGAGACACAUUGCUUCUAAAUGUUCUAACAAAAGGGUAAUAAUUUUGCGAGACAAUGGAAAAGUGGUGAGCAAUAGUGAGGAGGACUAUGGUGACAGGCCGGAAUUGGAAAAGGCUAGUGAUGGGGAAAAGGUAGAGUAUAUAGUGGGAGAGCUAUUGGUUACGACUCUUAGUGCUCAAAUCAAGGUAGUUGACUUGGAGUAGCAAAGGGAGAACAUAUUUCAUAGAAUAUGUUAUGGUAUGGUAUAGGGGUAUUUCUUGUACGGGCCUUAAAAUCUUAUAUGGGCCUAGGUUAGGAUUAGUAUAAAUAAUAUGUUGUAACCCUAUUUGUCACUAUUGAAUAAAAUAAUCUCUGCUUCGCUCUCGUGGAUGUAGGCACACCACCGAACCACGUAAAAUUUUUGUGUUGAUUUUCUUUUUCAUCUCUUUAAUAUUGCACAUAAAAUCCAACAUGAUAGUUGCACUAAUGUGAUUAGCACUAUACUUGUUGAAAAAUUGGAGUUAACCAUGCUAAAACAUCCUAAACGUUACUGACUACAAUGAUUGAAUGAAUGUAGAAAGGUUAAGGUGAACAAGUGCGUGUUGAUGAGUUUCUCAAUUGGUAGCUACUGUGAUGAAGUGAUCUGUGACAUAGUUUCUAUGCAUACCGGGCACAUUUUGUUGGGUAGGCCCUGACAAUAUGAUAGGAAUGUGAUACAUGAUGGUUAUAAAAUAGUUAUAGCUUUAUUAAGGACAAGAAAUCUAUUACUCUUGCAUCAUUAACAUAGGUACAAGUGUAUGAGGAUCAAAUCAAAAUGAAAAAUGAGGAAGAGAGAGAGAGAGAGUAUUGUGAGAAAUUGAUAGCAAGAGAGAAAAUAGUGAGGUGGCUAUUAGUAAAAAAAAAGGAGUAGAGACACAAGAACGAAAAGAAAAAGAGUCUUUUGAGAGGAGAGAAAUGUCAAAAGUGAAUUUCUUUACAAAACGAAGUGAGUUGAAGAGGACAUAGUUGAGAGUCAACCAAUAACCUUGUUGGUCUACAAGGAGUCACUCCUCAAUAUUGAAGACUUUAACACAUCCCUCCUAGUUUGGCUACGUCUUUAUUGUAGGAACUCAAGGAUGUAUUUCCGGAGGAUGUACUUAGUGGGUUACCACCCGUUCGAGGAAUUGAAAACCAAAUCGAUUUCGUACUUGUAGCUGACAUUCCGAACAGGUCAGCUUAUCGAAGUAAUUUUGAGGAGACUAAGGAGUUUCAAAGGAAAGUGGAGGAAUUGAUGAGCAAGGGGUAUGUAAGGGAGAAUAUGAGUACAUUUUGCAUGGAAAAGUUGUUUUCCUUGUGUGUAUGGUUAGUGCAAAAGGAAUAGAAGUAGAUGAGGAGAAGAUCAAAGUUAUUAAGGAAUGGCCAAUUCCCAAAAGUAUAAUUGAGGUAAGAAGUUUCCAUGGUUUGGCUAGUUUUUAUUUGCGUUUUGUUAAGGACUUUAACACAAUUGUUAAACCACUCAUGGAAGUUGUCAAGAAAAAUGUAGGAUUUAAAUGAGGCAUUAAAUAAGAACUUGCAUUUAAUACUAUUAAAAAUAAGUUGUACAAGGCAUCGGUUUUAGCACUUCUUAAUUUUGACAAAACUUUGGAGAUUGAAUGUGAUGCUUUAGGGGUAGGUAUUGGAAAUAUUUUAAUGCAGGAUAGAAAAUCGAUAACUUACUUCAGUGAAAAGCUAAGCGGGGCCAUUCUCAGUUAUUCUACAUAUGACAAAGAGUUGUAUACACUUGUUCGAGUUUUGGAGACAUGGCAGCACUAUCUAUGAUCAAAGGAGUUUGUGAUUCACAUAGAUCAUGAGUCCUUGAAGAAUGCAAGAUAGGUGGAGUUCAUCGAGACAUUUUCAUACAUCAUUCAGUAUAAACAAGGUAAAGAAAAUAUGGUAGCUAAUGCAUUAUAAAGAAUGUAUGUGCUUUAACUUCUUUAAGUGCUAAAUUGCUUGGAUUUGAAUAUGUUUAGAACAUGUAUGCUAAUGACCUGGAUUUUUCUAAUAUAUACGAAACAUGUGAUAAAUGGGUUGUGGUUCUUUCGGGAUGAUGGUUUUCUAUUUCGGAAAAAUAAAUUUUUUGUUCCUAAUUAUUCAAUGAAAGAGUUGUUAGUGAAAGAAAUACAUAGUGGGGGUUUACUGAGAUAUUUUGGGGUAAGAAGACCUUAGAGAUGAUUGGUAAAUAUUUUUAUUGGCUUAAGAUGAAAACUGAUGUUGAUUGAGGUUUGUUGUAGAUGCAUCACUUGUAAAAAGGCUAAUUUGCAACAAAGGGGAGAUGAUCCAUUUCAAGUCCUUGAAAUGAUUAAUGACAAUGCCUACAAAUUGGAUCUUCUUGGUGAGUAUAAUGUUUCGAUUACCUUUAAUGUGUCUGAUCUUUCUCUCUUUAAUGCAGGUACAGAUUCGAGAUCGAAUUCUUUCAAAGAGGGAGGGGGUGAUAUGAUCCAUAUGAACAAAGAUAAUGAAUGCAAGUUGGGGCAAAGAUCCGUCGAUUGUCGAAAAAGGGUUGAUGACUCAGUCGUGAGCAAAGAAAGUCAAAGAAGCAACGUGAUUACUCGUUCAAAUUGCAUUGGAUGAAAUGUCAAUCUUGGUGAGCAAAAAAACGAGUUUCAUGUUGGGCUUGAAUGAAGAUUCAAAGUGGAUUAACUUGGUUUGAAUAGCGGACGAAGAGCCUGAAAUAGUGAACUACGUGACCGUAUAGUUCGCAUAGGUAUGCAUUUGCAUGCCUAUAUUCAGAGAGU
Molecule: long non-coding RNA, 7138 nt
Filed under: Olea europaea subsp. europaea
Lineage: Eukaryota; Viridiplantae; Streptophyta; Magnoliopsida; Lamiales; Oleaceae
Source: RNAcentral